This 254-nucleotide ribosomal RNA is filed under the name uncultured bacterium. RNAcentral's name for it is "partial 16S ribosomal RNA". It matches the Rfam family "Bacterial small subunit ribosomal RNA", at positions 524 to 776 of the family's 1533-position model. The record is from RNAcentral.
UACGUAGGGGCCUAGCGUUGUCCGGAAUUAUUGGGCGUAAAGAGCUCGUAGGCGGUUCGGCAAGUCGGAUGUGAAAUCUCCACGCUUAACGUGGAGGGGCCAUUCGAAACUGCUGUGACUCGAGUCCGGUAGGGGAGUGUGGAAUUCCCGGUGUAGCGGUGAAAUGCGCAGAUAUCAGGAGGAACACCGGUGGCGAAGGCGGGUCUCUGGGCCAUAACUGACGCUGAGGAGCGAAAGCGUGGGGAGCGAACAGG